Molecule: ribosomal RNA, 253 nt
Filed under: uncultured bacterium
Lineage: Bacteria
Description: partial 16S ribosomal RNA
Rfam family: Bacterial small subunit ribosomal RNA
Source: RNAcentral
UACGUAGGGUGCAAGCGUUGUCCGGAAUUAUUGGGCGUAAAGAGCUCGUAGGCGGUUUGUCGCGUCUGCUGUGAAAACUCGGGGCUUAACCCCGGGCCUGCAGUGGGUACGGGCAGACUAGAGUGCGGUAGGGGAGACUGGAAUUCCUGGUGUAGCGGUGAAAUGCGCAGAUAUCAGGAGGAACACCGGUGGCGAAGGCGGGUCUCUGGGCCGUAACUGACGCUGAGGCGCGAAAGCGUGGGGAGCAAACAGG